GACGAACGCUGGCGGCGUGCUUAACACAUGCAAGUCGAACGGAAAGGCCCUGCUUUUGUGGGGUGCUCGAGUGGCGAACGGGUGAGUAACACGUGAGUAACCUGCCCUUGACUUUGGGAUAACUUCAGGAAACUGGGGCUAAUACCGGAUAGGAGCUCCUGCUGCAUGGUGGGGGUUGGAAAGUUUCGGCGGUUGGGGAUGGACUCGCGGCUUAUCAGCUUGUUGGUGGGUAGUGGCUUACCAAGGCUUUGACGGGUAGCCGGCCUGAGAGGGUGACCGGCCACAUUGGGACUGAGAUACGGCCCAGACUCUUACGGGAGGCAGCAGUGGGGAAUAUUGCACAAUGGGCGGAAGCCUGAUGCAGCAACGCCGCGUGCGGGAUGACGGCCUUCGGGUUGUAAACCGCUUUCGCCUGUGACGAAGCGUGAGUGACGGUAAUGGGUAAAGAAGCACCGGCUAACUACGUG
Molecule: ribosomal RNA, 467 nt
Filed under: uncultured bacterium
Lineage: Bacteria
Description: partial 16S ribosomal RNA
Rfam family: Bacterial small subunit ribosomal RNA
Source: RNAcentral